UACGUAGGGCGCAAGCGUUGUCCGGAAUUAUUGGGCGUAAAGAGCUCGUAGGCGGCUUGUCACGUCGGAUGUGAAAGCCCGAGGCUUAACCUCGGGUCUGCAUUCGAUACGGGCUAGCUAGAGUGUGGUAGGGGGGAUCGGAAUUCCUGGUGUAGCGGUGAAAUGCGCAGAUAUCAGGAGGAACACCGGUGGCGAAGGCGGAUCUCUGGGCCAUUACUGACGCUGAGGAGCGAAAGCGUGGGGAGCGAACAGG
RNAcentral lists this ribosomal RNA (253 nucleotides) under uncultured bacterium. Its description in RNAcentral is "partial 16S ribosomal RNA". It matches the Rfam family "Bacterial small subunit ribosomal RNA", at positions 524 to 776 of the family's 1533-position model. The record is from RNAcentral.